Non-coding RNA from Salmo salar (Atlantic salmon), 526 nucleotides. The record is from RefSeq and is a predicted model, not a curated record. Lineage: Eukaryota; Metazoa; Chordata; Actinopteri; Salmoniformes; Salmonidae.
GCAUUUCGCUACACUCGCAUUAACAUCUGCUAACCAUGUGUAUGUGACAAAUAAAAUAUGAUGUGAUUUGAACAAUUUAAAAGGGUGAAAGGUGGUAUGCAGUAAUAAUUCGUUUUUUUAUUUUUCAGUAUUUUUUUCAGUGUUUGAUUAAUUUAGUUUGCAAAUAAUGAUAUCGCUUCUGUAGUUUGUCAAAUACAGUGUACCUGCUGCGAAAGAUGGAGGGGAUGAGAGGCAAGAACAUUAGCUCAUCUUCAUGCAAGGUGCAUCCACAUGUGCAAAUGAAAUUCAACAGCUAAUAUGUCGAAGGUGCUGGACUGGCAGAUGGAGAGGCUGUUGUCGUAUCGGAGGCGCUUUGGGAGGAUCACCAAAGAAAUGACGCCGUCCCAUCGUAUUGACCUCCUGACUGAUGCACUUCUCCACCAUGGGAAAAAGAUACGCCAGAGGCAACUGGACAGAGGCUUUCCGAGCAACAGAAGUUGCAACAGAGGCAGAAAGGGAAAUGGCAGAAAUUGCAGUCUUUUUCAGG